CAGAGGAUGAAAUUACAGUCCCCAGUCAUCCUACUCCUGAGGGAACGAAUUGCUUUCUGAUUGAUUAGCUCUGUGUCGUGAUUCCCGACUCUUAGAGUACAGAUGGAUACCAAGGACGUCUCUGCACUGACCAGGGAAGAGACACAGGAAAACAUCAGCAGGAUACAUUGUUCUGUGUUCCAAUGAGUGAGCAGGAUUUGGGACACAACCUCUGAGAAGUGGACACUGGGCCAUCCUUGAUCCCUGUGGCUGAUCAGCCUGAGACCUCAGGAACUCAUGAACUCACUGGGAACACAGAUUUUCUCUUCUGAUCAACAAGGAGAUGGAGUCCAUCCACCGAGCUGUCUGCAUGUCUGGAAGGGGACUGUCCAU
RNAcentral lists this long non-coding RNA (372 nucleotides) under Cricetulus griseus (Chinese hamster). RNAcentral describes it as "lncRNA (ENSCGRG00015041413.1)". The record is from RNAcentral. Lineage: Eukaryota; Metazoa; Chordata; Mammalia; Rodentia; Cricetidae.